UUUUGUAGAAUGAACCGGCGAGUUACGAUUUGAUGCAAGGUUAAGCAGUAAAUGUGGAGCCGUAGCGAAAGCGAGUCUGAAUAGGGCGUUUAGUAUUUGGUCGUAGACCCGAAACCAGGUGAUCUACCCUUGGUCAGGUUGAAGUUCAGGUAACACUGAAUGGAGGACCGAACCGACUUACGUUGAAAAGUGAGCGGAUGAACUGAGGGUAGCGGAGAAAUUCCAAUCGAACCUGGAGAUAGCUGGUUCUCUCCGAAAUAGCUUUAGGGCUAGCCUCAAGUGAUGAUUAUUGGAGGUAGAGCACUGUUUGGACGAGGGGCCCCUCUCGGGUUACCGAAUUCAGACAAACUCCGAAUGCCAAUUAAUUUAACUUGGGAGUCAGAACAUGGGUGAUAAGGUCCGUGUUCGAAAGGGAAACAGCCCAGACCACCAGCUAAGGUCCCAAAAUAUAUGUUAAGUGGAAAAGGAUGUGGCGUUGCCCAGACAACUAGGAUGUUGGCUUAGAAGCAGCCAUCAUUUAAAGAGUGCGUAAUAGCUCACUAGUCGAGUGACACUGCGCCGAAAAUGUACCGGGGCUAAACAUAUUACCGAAGCUGUGGAUUGUCCUUUGGACAAUGGUAGGAGAGCGUUCUAAGGGCGUUGAAGCAUGAUCGUAAGGACAUGUGGAGCGCUUAGAAGUGAGAAUGCCGGUGUGAGUAGCGAAAGACGGGUGAGAAUCCCGUCCACCGAUUGACUAAGGUUUCCAGAGGAAGGCUCGUCCGCUCUGGGUUAGUCGGGUCCUAAGCUGAGGCCGACAGGCGUAGGCGAUGGAUAACAGGUUGAUAUUCCUGUACCACCUAUAAUCGUUUUAAUCGAUGGGGGGACGCAGUAGGAUAGGCGAAGCGUGCGAUUGGAUUGCACGUCUAAGCAGUAAGGCUGAGUAUUAGGCAAAUCCGGUACUCGUUAAGGCUGAGCUGUGAUGGGGAGAAGACAUUGUGUCUUCGAGUCGUUGAUUUCACACUGCCGAGAAAAGCCUCUAGAUAGAAAAUAGGUGCCCGUACCGCAAACCGACACAGGUAGUCAAGAUGAGAAUUCUAAGGUGAGCGAGCGAACUCUCGUUAAGGAACUCGGCAAAAUGACCCCGUAACUUCGGGAGAAGGGGUGCUCUUUAGGGUUAACGCCCAGAAGAGCCGCAGUGAAUAGGCCCAAGCGACUGUUUAUCAAAAACACAGGUCUCUGCUAAACCGUAAGGUGAUGUAUAGGGGCUGACGCCUGCCCGGUGCUGGAAGGUUAAGAGGAGUGGUUAGCUUCUGCGAAGCUACGAAUCGAAGCCCCAGUAAACGGCGGCCGUAACUAUAACGGUCCUAAGGUAGCGAAAUUCCUUGUCGGGUAAGUUCCGACCCGCACGAAAGGCGUAACGAUUUGGGCACUGUCUCAACGAGAGACUCGGUGAAAUCAUAGUACCUGUGAAGAUGCAGGUUACCCGCGACAGGACGGAAAGACCCCGUGGAGCUUUACUGUAGCCUGAUAUUGAAAUUCGGCACAGCUUGUACAGGAUAGGUAGGAGCCUUUGAAACGUGAGCGCUAGCUUACGUGGAGGCGCUGGUGGGAUACUACCCUAGCUGUGUUGGCUUUCUAACCCGCACCACUUAUCGUGGUGGGAGACAGUGUCAGGCGGGCAGUUUGACUGGGGCGGUCGCCUCCUAAAAGGUAACGGAGGCGCUCAAAGGUUCCCUCAGAAUGGUUGGAAAUCAUUCAUAGAGUGUAAAGGCAUAAGGGAGCUUGACUGCGAGACCUACAAGUCGAGCAGGGUCGAAAGACGGACUUAGUGAUCCGGUGGUUCCGCAUGGAAGGGCCAUCGCUCAACGGAUAAAAGCUACCCCGGGGAUAACAGG
This 1874-nucleotide ribosomal RNA is filed under the name Staphylococcus aureus. Its description in RNAcentral is "partial 23S ribosomal RNA". It matches the Rfam family "Bacterial large subunit ribosomal RNA", at positions 606 to 2481 of the family's 2925-position model. Lineage: Bacteria; Bacillati; Bacillota; Bacilli; Caryophanales; Staphylococcaceae. The record is from RNAcentral.